Molecule: ribosomal RNA, 424 nt
Filed under: uncultured bacterium
Lineage: Bacteria
Description: bacterial SSU rRNA
Rfam family: Bacterial small subunit ribosomal RNA
Source: RNAcentral
UAACGAAUCUUCCGCAAUGUACGAAAGUAUGACGGAGCGACGCCGCGUGUAGGACGAAGCCCUUCGGGGUGUAAACUACUGUCAAGGGUUAGAAAGUUCUGAUCAACCCUAGAGGAAGGCACGGCUAACUCUGUGCCAGCAGCCGCGGUAAGACAGAGGUGCCAAGCGUUAGGCGGAAUCACUGGGCUUAAAGCGUGUGUAGGCGGAUGUCUAAGUACCUUGUGAAAUCCCACGGCUCAACCAUGGAACUGCUCGGUAUACUGCAAAUCUUGAGCCACUUAGGGGCUACCGGAACAAAUGGUGGAGCGGUGAAAUGCGUAGAUAUCAUUUGGAACGCCAAUGGUGAAAACAGGUAGCUGGGAGUGUGCUGACACUGAGACACGAAAGCCAGGGGAGCGAACGGGAUUAGAUACCCCCGUAGUCC